AAGGACCCAGUAAGACCUUGCCCUUCAGGUCUUUUACAUCAAAUCAGCCUACAUUGUCUGAAUCAUAUGCACUGAAGAUUACAGACCAAUUCACAGACAAAGAAGUGAAAGUGAUGAUUGAAAAGAAGAACCACCAAUGUCCUCUCGCUUAGUUUCCCUUGAAAAGAAUGAACAAAAUAAUCUGCGUAGCCUUGCAACCAGGGAACAGAUUUCCUGUGUAGUGUUCACAACUUUGGCAAG
Long non-coding RNA from Phyllostomus discolor (pale spear-nosed bat), 240 nucleotides. RefSeq lists it as uncharacterized. The transcript is spliced from 2 exons. Lineage: Eukaryota; Metazoa; Chordata; Mammalia; Chiroptera; Phyllostomidae. The record is from RefSeq and is a predicted model, not a curated record.